This 316-nucleotide long non-coding RNA is filed under the name Phoenix dactylifera (date palm). RNAcentral's name for it is "long non-coding RNA (PDAC_LNC004983)". The record is from RNAcentral. Lineage: Eukaryota; Viridiplantae; Streptophyta; Magnoliopsida; Arecales; Arecaceae.
CACACUAACCUAAUGUCGUAGAGGCCAACGCACGUAUGGACCUGACAUUGAACCUGAGAAAAUGCAGAGCUUUCAAGUAACCUUUGGACCUAUACACAUCUAAUACAGCUCUCAAGUGUCGUUAGCACUGCCAGGUUAACAGAGAAGUAAUUGCUAAUGGAUGCCUGGAGGUACUAGUUCAAUAUUGUCAACGGCACUCAAAUGUAUCAUAUUAGUCCUAUCAAAUGUAACUGCUAAUAGAUGCCUGUGAAUUGGACUCCAUUAAUUACCUCGCACAAACCAAAUCGAAUUAGUUUCAAACAAUCAGCAAACACAA